ACCUGCCUGGCUCGGUAGGUAGAGCAUGUGACUCUUGAUCUCCAGGUCGUGAGUUCAAGUCCCACGUUGGGCG
Molecule: transfer RNA, 73 nt
Filed under: Felis catus (domestic cat)
Lineage: Eukaryota; Metazoa; Chordata; Mammalia; Carnivora; Felidae
Rfam family: tRNA
About the family: Transfer RNA (tRNA) molecules are approximately 80 nucleotides in length. Their secondary structure includes four short double-helical elements and three loops (D, anti-codon, and T loops).
Source: Rfam by way of RNAcentral